Molecule: long non-coding RNA, 214 nt
Filed under: Capsella rubella
Lineage: Eukaryota; Viridiplantae; Streptophyta; Magnoliopsida; Brassicales; Brassicaceae
Description: long non-coding RNA (CRUB_LNC004339)
Source: RNAcentral
UAAGACUAAGGGAGAAAAGAGACCAUCUUUUUGUACAUGUCGUAAGAAUAAUUUUGGUAACACAUUGGAAAGUGAGUAGGGACACUUACAAGAUUCUAGGUCGAGCAUUUGCCUAGCUCCAUGCUUCUUCAUUAGAUGCUGAAACGAAGUAUACUCUUCUUUAUAGAAAUCACAUAAAGAUCGGUUACAUGAUAUGUGUGAAGUUCUUGUAGGC